Molecule: long non-coding RNA, 882 nt
Organism: Myotis myotis
Lineage: Eukaryota; Metazoa; Chordata; Mammalia; Chiroptera; Vespertilionidae
Exons: 6
Source: RefSeq, a predicted model, not a curated record
CAUAGCAAAGGCCCGCGUUUCACUUACAAGCAGUAGGCGGUCCUGGCGCGUCACAACUGGGCACAUCGGGCAAGGCAGCUUCUGCACACCCUUCCUCAGGGGACUGACAGGCAUCGCCCGUCUGGGAGGCCUUCACUGCGACCUGCAGGCUCUCAGCUAAGAAGCAGGAAAACGAAAGAGAGUCAGGACUUUGUCUUAUUGUGCUAUAUCCUCAGCACCAAGACCACAGCGAUGAGUAGUUCUGUGAAAUAGCAUUUACCGGAGAAGGUUAUCACAGGAACCUCGCAGCUAUGAAAAUCCACGUGACAAGACAAAGAAGUUGCGGAUUAGCUAGCAGUGUGACCUAAUAGCAACUUCUCGGGCGAUAAGCUUCUGAAGGGAAAUAACGGAUGGCUUCUGAUCCUGCGCAAAACAGGAGGACGUGCAGAUGAAACAGCAUCCCAUCCAAAGUGAGGUCUCGCAGAGCACGUUAGCGAAGAAAAGCAACCGUGUUAGCAUCCACAGCCCCACCACAUCUGAGGAGGUCUGCAGGCACACAUCCCUGUAGGCAUGGAAGGCCUCUGCCACAGAAGAGGAGGAACCGGAGCUGCCACCGGUAGCCCCAUGGUUACAAUAUAUCCACUGUGAUUCCACAAGGUGGCUGAGUCUAUGGAGAACCCCGUAACAGCCGAGAGGGGUUGCUGGACACAUCAGUAGGGGGUCAUGACAUUUGCAAUACAUAUAAUUCAAACAGAUCAGGAAAUUGGGGACGUGGUUAAAGCCUCUGGCUUUCUGCUGGUGUCGCUUUGGGAGAGCAUCUCUGGACUUUAUACAACUUGCACACUCUGUGAUCAGAGGCAAUGUGCUGAACGGUGCAGAAGCCGAUUGAUUGCCCCAACCUGA